GGAGGCGUAUGGGUACCUGGUGGGCCCCCCAGUCUUCAAAACUGGCGAGACCGAGCAGCUCGGUCUGGCGGGUUCGAUUCCCGUCCGCCUCCGCCA
Molecule: transfer RNA, 96 nt
Filed under: Propionibacterium sp.
Lineage: Bacteria; Bacillati; Actinomycetota; Actinomycetes; Propionibacteriales; Propionibacteriaceae
Description: tRNA-Sec
Rfam family: Selenocysteine transfer RNA
Source: RNAcentral